Molecule: long non-coding RNA, 395 nt
Organism: Solanum stenotomum
Lineage: Eukaryota; Viridiplantae; Streptophyta; Magnoliopsida; Solanales; Solanaceae
Exons: 2
Source: RefSeq, a predicted model, not a curated record
ACUUAAACUUGGGGGCCACAGCUUCAUAGAGAAUCCUGCAGAAUCCAUCUUCAAUAGCCUGGAAAAGAAGCUGCAAUCAGAAGAUCAUUUCAUACAACAAAGGAAGCCACUAAUACAGAACAUAACGGCUGCUAAGUACAAGGAAAACAAUAACAAAUGUGCUUGGAAACUGCUAAGUUGUUCGGACUCCACUUCCGGUAUUGCAUCCAUGUCGAUACGACAUGGGGUGUGGGAUCCGUAAUGGAAUUGGUCAACCAAUUUUGAAUAAUUUGACCAAAAUUGACUGAGAAAUUCGGGACAGAUACCUGUGAUUUCUGUAAUCAAAAUAAAAACUAGGAUGAAAUUGAAGAAAAUGAAAUAGCUUGUGUAUAGAAAUUUCUAUGUCAGUCCUUUUU